This 360-nucleotide ribosomal RNA is filed under the name uncultured prokaryote. RNAcentral's name for it is "bacterial SSU rRNA". It matches the Rfam family "Bacterial small subunit ribosomal RNA", at positions 8 to 352 of the family's 1533-position model. The record is from RNAcentral.
AGAGUUUGAUCCUGGCUCAGAACGAACGCUGGCGGCGUGCCUAACACAUGCAAGUCCAACGUGAAAGGGGAGCAAUCCCCUGGUAGGGUGGCAAACGGGUGAGUAAUACAUGGGUGAUCUACCUUAGGGAUGGGGAUAUCCUUCCGAAAGGAGGGUUAAUACCGAAUAUCGUCCGGGUGACGGGAGUCACUUGGGGAAAGGGAGGCCUCUGGCAACAUGCUUCCGCUCCGGGAGGAGCCCAUGGCCCAUCAGCUGGUUGGUAGGGUAACGGCCUCCCAAGGCGACGAUGCGUAGCCGACCUGAGAGGGUGACCGGCCACACUGGCACUGAGACACGGCCCAGACUCCUACGGGAGGCGAC